CACAGUAAUAUUUAAACAAUCAGGUUUAUUAUCUACUUAUUUUAGUUAAAUGCCAUUUUUUCCCUAGAGGAAGAAAAAUUUUAACCUUCAACAAUUGCAUUUGAAGUGAAUGGGCCUGUAAAAGAUACAUCAUCUCCUCUGAUUUGAUUCACCUUGCACAGAAGAUUCCUGCUCAUGAACUGUUAAUAUGACUUAGCCCAAUCAGAUCGGUUUCAUUUGUGUCCUACUUCAAAUCUUUAGGCUUUCCAUCUGUCAAAAACGCUUGGGCGGCUGAAUGAUAAAGUCUUGUUGCUAUGGUGAUUAGUUCCAUUACCUAGGUGACAGUGUUGGCAUUAUGUCACCACUAAAGCAACCUAACUCCCGAAAUAUUUUUAGUGUCUGUUGCAGAUGAACUACAGUAAAAACACCAUCUAUCAAUGACCCCAAAUACCCAAGGAUAUUUGAAGGUAAGGAAGGUGUAGGUUGGCCACUCUCUGCAUGACUUGAAGAAGGGCAAGUAAGGAGCAAAAUACUCAAGAGGACCAUCUGCACACAGCAACACUGCCAAAGAAAGACAGAAUGGAAUCUGCUUGACCUUCCCCUGCUUUACCUAUGCCCUGGGAAUACGGAGAUUAUCCUGUUGGUGUUACAGAAGGAAAAAAACAAAUGUAUUGAACUAUAGACCCUACAUAUUAGGCAAUUGGUGUGUGAACACCACAUCCAGCAAUCUCUCUUCAGAGGAGGAGGAGGACACCUGUGGAAACUCUACAGAAGACAUACAAAUGAGUUAUGUUCAGAACAGAGAAUCGACUCAAUUCUGCAGUUCCAACCGCAUGCUGAAGUCCCUGAAGAGCCACUUCUAUAUCAGAUGA
Molecule: long non-coding RNA, 851 nt
Filed under: Anser brachyrhynchus (Pink-footed goose)
Lineage: Eukaryota; Metazoa; Chordata; Aves; Anseriformes; Anatidae
Description: lncRNA (ENSABRG00000018404.1)
Source: RNAcentral